UACGUAGGUGGCAAGCGUUGUCCGGAAUUAUUGGGCGUAAAGCGCGCGCAGGUGGUUCCUUAAGUCUGAUGUGAAAGCCCACGGCUCAACCGUGGAGGGUCAUUGGAAACUGGGGAACUUGAGUGCAGAAGAGGAAAGUGGAAUUCCAAGUGUAGCGGUGAAAUGCGUAGAGAUUUGGAGGAACACCAGCGGCGAAGGCGGCACUCUGGGCUGGAAUUGACGCUGAGGAGCGAAAGUGUGGGUAGCAAACAGG
RNAcentral lists this ribosomal RNA (253 nucleotides) under uncultured bacterium. RNAcentral describes it as "partial 16S ribosomal RNA". It matches the Rfam family "Bacterial small subunit ribosomal RNA", at positions 524 to 776 of the family's 1533-position model. The record is from RNAcentral.